AGCGGAUAAAAGUUAGCGCGUCCAAUACAGUAUUCUCAGUCAGGGCCCCGAGGAAAGACUUCAGACAGGACCGUGGUUACGAAGACGAAGAAGGCAUGCCGAAGGGUCCCGAAGCAGGUAGACGAGGGUGGCUCCCGACUCUGGUUCCCUCGGGAGAGAAAAAAAAAAUCCCCCCUGCCUGUAUGGUUAGAAAUGGUGUUCCUAACUAGCUAGCAACACCGUUUUACCCACUUAAGUCUUACUCCGUAUCCCGACGUGUGUCCAGUUCUUUACAAAUAUGGGAUCUAGCUGGAAACAAAGGGACUUCCCAGGAGCCAUUUCCUGGGGGGAUAGUGGCUGCGGUGGUCACAUGUGGACCAGGGGCCAUCUGAACCCCAGGGAAAAGUCUGGAACACCAUGAUUUCAUCUUCUUGCUGGGAGGUGGUUAGAAUUUCACCGGAAAUUUUAGUGACGGGGUCUGCGUAGGGAGUUGAGAUGAUCUCAGGGAAACAGCUGUGAAAUACCUAUUUCAUUAAAUCUACUAACCAUGAUUAUGCUAAGAUGGGGGCAGAAAUAGCUCUGGAUAAACAUAUCUGUGACUAUGCUAGGAUCUCAUUUAGUUUGACCAGGGAACAGAAGUUUGAGAAGCCGAGGACAUGGUUACACUGGAAAUGUGGCUACUCUGACGCUUUGACUUUUUUUUUUAAUUUUUAAAAAAUGUUUAUUUUUGAGACACACACACACGCACACACACACACACACACAGAGCGUGAGCAGGGAAGGGGCAGAGAGAGAGGGAGACACAGAAUCCAAAGCUGCUCCGGGCUCCGAGCUGUCAGCACAGAGCCCCCACGCGGGGCUCGAACCCAUGAGCUAUGAGAUCAUGACCUGAGCCCAAGUCGGAAGCUUAACCUGAAGUCAGACGGUUAACCGACUGAGCCACCCAGAUGUCCCUGACGCUUUGACUUUCUAAAGUAUGGUAUUUUAAACCAUUCUUCAGGACACUGGGCAAUACCAACUUGAAGAGAGAGGCAAGGUGGGAAUUGAGGGAGUUUUCGGAAUGGUAAUGACCAAGUACUCACACAACUGCUCCUUAGUAACCCGUUGGUUUGGUAACUUCCCUCCUCUCCACAGACCCCUACAUUUGGGCUCACGCUCGAGCCUAAGCAGGCACUGAGAUGCAGCUCAUUCCUGGCUGUCCUCGAGAGAAACAUUCCUACUAACCACCCCCCCCCCCCCCCCGCCCCAGAUCAUGCUGCCCAUUCACCCCCACAGCUUCCCAUCCCUGGCAUAGUUCCUGCUAGCCCUGCUCACCGCUCCUUAUUUAAAAAAAAAAAAAAAAAAAAGCCUUUUUCUGUUCGAUUUUGAGAUGCCUGUGGAUCUUGCGGUCGGAGCAUUCUCUCUAUUGCAACAGUCUUUUAAAUAAAUUCUUUCUCUACCUACCCCUGGAUCUGUUUUAUUGACAGAUUUAAAGUGUCAUGAGGCAACUCAAGAUUGGACAUCACUUACAGAACCCUGUCGUACCUGCCCAGGUAUCUAACGGCACCUUGCAAUUGCUUCGAACUCGGCUCCUGUUCGUGAGUUCGGGAAUCCUUUGGUAAAUUCAGUUCUCACACCAGUGCCCUGGGCAUCAUGUCUAUUACAGCACAGUAAGGAGUUACUUUGAUUCUUUGGGCAUAGGAAUCUUUCUUUGGCAUUUUGAGUGGGCAGUCGUUCCCUGGCUCUUGAGAAGGAAACUUCCCUAUUCUUCUGUAUGAUGACUCCUUUGUUUUUCCUUGGGAAUUGGAGGAGGGAAUUUCUUUGGCCCUUCCGACAGGGACGAUACAGGGGAGUAAUCAAGCAGGACUCUUUCCUGGCUUCUUUAAGGGCUUAUCUCUGGUCUAAUGAACUAAUAUCGUGGGUAACUCUCACUCUACUUUCCCUGCUGGACUAUAUGUUCCAUCAUUAUGGCAUUAAUUCAGGUCAAUACGUUCAAAAGUAGCAAGAUUUUACUACAGAGAAUUUAGAAUUUCGGUGGCCUCUUUGGGAAACAUGGGAUCUCCCCAUGCUGGCUCAUCAAUUACCUAUCCCUUCCUAUCACCCACCCCCCCAUCCUCCUUCCUCCUUUUCAUGACCUUCAAACUUCCCUUCAUCUCCCUGAAUCCUUCGAUCCGUCUCUCCCCCUUUAACACUCCUACCUCCUCUAUCCCUCUAUCCACUUCUGCCAAACUUUUUCCAUCCCACUUGGGCCCUUCAACAUCUUAUAGUCACUUAAACUCUAGGCCCCCCUCUCCCUGUUGGAAGUUAUUGAGCGGCUUCGGGACCCCGAGAGCAAACACCUAAUGCUGAAAAAGCUACUUAGAAACAGGCUGAGUGCUUUUUCAACUCAGAUGAGCUCUAGACACCCAGACAGACGGUCACCUGAUAUCUCCUCAGUCCCUUGCCCUAGAUUUAAUCCACAGCCUCCAAAGAAAAUUAAGGGUCUCCUCCACUAAUAUUGUUGGGGGCGCUUCAGCUCUCAUAAUGAGCAGAUGUCCUCCAUUGCUCCAUCCACCAGAAAUGUAGUCCUGAUUUUUAUAAAAACGUAAAGGUGUCCAAGGGCAAGAGCCAACUGUUUGUAACCAAUGAGUUAAAAAUUAGAAAUUAAAGCCAUUAGUCCAGCCAUUAGUUCUCUGUGUCUGGCUGUCUAUGUAUUUAUGUAUGUUCUUUUCCUAUCCCUAGAUAGUAUUAACAUAUUAGAUUAUAAAAUGCCUUAAAGAACUCUAUUUUAAUUGGCUUAGAGGUAAAUAAGCAUUUCUAUAAAUUAAAUAUGUCUAAAAUUCUCAAAAGUUAACGGAAUUUAACAUCUAGGAUUUUCAAAAAGAGUCUUAUAGAAACUAACCCAAAUAUUUUUUACAGUUUUUAUUUACAUUCCAGGUAGUUGGGGCGCCUGGGUGGCUCAGUCAGUUAAGGGUCCAACUUCAGCUCAGGUCAUGAUCUGGUGGUCCUGAGUUGGAGCUCCAGGUCGGGCUCUGUGCUGACAGCAGGGGGCCUACUUGGAAUUUUCUCUCUCCCUCUCUCUCUCUCUCUCUCUCUCUCAAAAAUAAAUAAACAUUAAAAAAAGAAAAUAAAUUCCAGUUAGUUAACAUACAGUGUCAUAUUAUAGUUUCAGGGGUACAAUGUAGUGAUUCAGCACUUCCGUACAAAACCCAGUGCUAACCCAAAUAUUUUUAAAAUUCAAGUCAACACAAGUUCAGUAAAUCUUGGCAAACAAGACUAAUUUAGUAUUAUUGGUUUAAUAAAAUUAGCUCUUUUAUCUUCUGAGUUAUCAAGUUUAGAUAAAAUAUAACCAGACUUUUUUAUUCUAUUUGGAAUAUUCUUCCUAAAACUUACACGGGUUUACUGAUUGAAUAGACUAACGCUACAUCUAUUAAACAUUUAAGAUUGUUAAAAAUGUAAAUUUGUGUUGAACCAAAUUAAAUCAUUAUCCUGACAAACUUUAUUUUGCCACGAAUUAUGUUUUAUAAUAUGUCAGCUUGAAAACGGUUUUCAGAAUCUUCUGGUAAAUUCAAACCUUAGACUUAUGCUAAAUUAAUUAAUGAAUGUUUAUUAAAUAACUAGAUCAUUUUUACAUAAGAUAAAUAUUGAAACGUUAAUUAGUAAGCAUACUUUUAAGGCUAUAUAUGUUUGGCUCUAUUAAUAUUCAUUUUUGCCUCAAUGAAAAGUUAUACCACAAGAGAUAAUUAUAGCUAUAAAAAUUGUGAGACCUAUAUUCAUAAGGUCUGGUGAUCUGCUACAAAAUACUGGUGUGUGACAGACAGUUCACAAUUUUCCACCUCCUGGCUUCUCUAAAAUAAAAGUUACUGUGGAUGAAUGUUGUAACCAGUAUCUGUGAGUAAAACUCUAUCAGUGGCAAUAGUAGCAUAUAGGAACAACUUUGUAGGCAAAGCAUAGAAGAUGUGUUCUUAUUAAGGGAAAAAAUAGUUUUGUCCUAAGGUAAAAUGACUGGUUGCUCCAGAAUAAAAAAGAAGAAAAUGUAGGAUAAAAUUUAAACGGAUGUAAAUAGUGAUAAAGGGGGGAUUCUAUGUGUUGCGGUCAAAGAUGGCAAAGGAUUAACAGGCUUAUUUUUCAUUUUUUAAAAAGGAAAUUUAAUAUCAAAUAUACUCAUACAAAACUGGAAUUGGGGUUUUCUCUCUGUUAAAUAACAAAAUGUGUUUGGAUUGUAGAUCUGCUCUUAAUAGGAAAUUAUAAGAGUUUUUCUUUGACUUCUAAGUAAUCUGUCAAGAAAGGCAAGAAUACUGUGCCUCAUCAGAGUAAUUCCCUAUGCUUUUGUGUUGGUUUUAUUAUGUCCUUGAUUGUUUAAGAAACCAAAGUCUUCUCACUUUUCAAAGUUUGAACUUCUUUACAAACUGCCAUAAUUUCCAUGCUUUGCUCUGGGAAACCUUACCGCAACCACAAAUAUGAUCGCCACAGAGCUACCUAAGUUUCAACAAGUGGUCCUUUAUUUUUUUUUUUUUAAUUUUUUUUUUCAACGUUUAUUUAUUUUUGGGACAGAGAGAGACAGAGCAUGAACGGGGGAGGGGCAGAGAGAGAGGGAGACACAGAAUCGGAAACAGGCUCCAGGCUCUGAGCCAUCAGCCCAGAGCCUGACGCGGGGCUCGAACUCACGCACCGCGAGAUCGUGACCUGGCUGAAGUCGGAUGCUUAACCGACUGUGCCACCCAGGCACCCCUAACAAGCGGUCCUUUAAAAUCUUAUGGCAUUGGACAUGAUUCUGGCUUCCCAAAGGGGCACUUAUACAGUGAGCGGUGGUGAGAAGGACUGCCAUGCAUAUGUUCUCCAAAACAUCUCGGAUUGUCUAUGCUAUCACCAAAACUAUUCAAAACACAAACCAUCAGAUCACCACUGCUAUUCUCACUCUACCAUCUAAGGACACUUUGGGUCCAAUGUCCCGGACUCCUCUUGGUAGACUCCCUUCUGGUAUCAGAUCUGGGGUUUACUCCCACAUUCAGCCUUUAGUAAUCAUUCUUUUUGUUAUAUUCCUAGGCAUACCUCUCACCAGUGCCUUGUCUCUAAGACCUUCCAACAGCUGUUGGUUGAUAAAAUGCUCAACAUAUAAUAUAGGUAAUACUUCAAAGCCAACAAGAAUGUGUGUCCAGCCCACCCGUGAAAACUGUGAGCAACUUUGACCUCAUGGCAACUCUAACUCUAUCCAUGGUAGUGUUUAGGACAGUCUUUGCCUAUUUUAUUUUAUUUUAUUUUAUUUUAUUUUAUUUUAUUUUAUUUUAUUUUUAAUUUAUUUUCUUAAGUUUUAUUUAUUUGAGAGAGAAAGAGAGAGAGAGAGAGAGAGAGAGCGAGCACAGGGGAGGAGCAGGGAGAGAGAGAAUCCCAAACAUGCUCUGCACUGUCAGUUGCGGGGCUUGAGCUCACGAACCAAACUGUGAGAUCGUGACCUGAGCCAAAACCAAGAGUUGAUCACUUACCUGACCGAGCCACCCAGGCGCCCCCUGUCUUGGCCUAUUUUAAGCAACACCAGGGACUGACCAAGUGCUCCCAAUUAUCCAUAACAUACCCUCUGACCUGGCUUAACCAAACUUCAGUCACGCUUUUCUCCUCACAGGCUCCUGAACUUUGGCUCACCCCCAAGCUUAAGCAAGAACCAAGAUGCAGAAAUUCCCCAUUCAAUAGCUCAUUCUAAGAAUGGGCUAAAGACAGAGAAACGUUUCCCGUUUCCAUGAUGCCGUCUGCUCGCUCCCACCACCGGCCCCAGCACACGCACACCAACUUCCUGCUGCCCCUGCUUCCCCUUUCCUAUAAGAGAAACACCUUCUUCUGUUCAGUUCUGAGACACUUGCGGGACCUGUGGUCAGAGCAUUCUCUCUGUUGCGGCGGUCUUUUCGAAUAAAGCUGCUUCUUACAUAAAUCUGGAUUUGUUUUUACUUGACAGUAAAAAUAAGCAGGGAUUCUGUGGUUUAAUGGUUAUUCCUCAUUUAACAGAUACAAUUAAACCCCUACUGUGUUUCAGGCCCGUUGUGGGUGCAAAGGACACAUCAAAAACGAAAAGACGUAGACCCCUGCCCUCACGGGGCUUGUGUUCCAGUCAAGGAAGAGGGAAGGGAACCAUAAACAACUAAAAAGUUAAAUGCUACUGCAUAGAGAGCCAGUUAUGGGUGAUGAGAAAUGGGGAAUCCCCCCCCCCCCCCGCCCCCGACGAGGGCAGUAAGGGAAGGCCUUACUAAUCCAGGGCAUUUAGGCAAAGACUUCAAAAAGCGAGGGAACGACCCUGCAGCUCCCCCGGGGGCGGAAGAAACGGCCUGGACAAAAGCCCUCAAUUGGCGUUGUGUGUGCCCUUCUGAAAAAGCGACGGGGGGCUCGUGCCGAGGGGACCAGGUGAGCGAGGAGGAGAGUAGAAAGGGAUGAGCCGCUGGUGAGAGACAGCAGGCAGGAGAAGGAGGAAAGUAAUAGGAAAUUCAUCUUUCCGUUUACGUGACCACUCGGUUCACGGCACACAAGCCGCACCGUGCCGUCAGUGGUAGUAAAGAGGGGAGGCAUUUGUCGUGGUCUGAAGGCGAGGAGGGAGGGGAGGGGUGCUUUGAAGGAAAGACCCCCGGGGCGAAUCCUCGCUCACCCGAAGCAGGUAGACAAGUGAAAGGGUGGGCAGGCGCUUUCCAGACCGAGCGAGGCGGGGAGACUUCGCACAGGCGCCAAGGCCCAAGGAAACACCGGUCCUUCGGGAGUAGACGUGUAGGAGAUGACCGCCAUCGAAGGUAGAAGGGGGGAGUUGGGAGAACAGGUGGCCCCGGAGACACAGAGAGGUAAGAAGGCAAAGGCACAGCUGCGCAUGUGUCAAUGUAAUGGCUGUAUCGCUCUGCUGUGAAAUAGCUUUGUUAACGUUUUCUAAUUAUCAAUACAUAAUGCAAAACAGUCUGGAAAUGCGAGAACUGUCACCAAUGAGAUGAGAAAGCGCCCAUAAUGCCGUCUCACAGAAAUAUGUACUGCUAAUGUUUUGGUGCUUACUGUUCUACCUCGAAUGUUUAUAAUGUAUAUAAUAUAUACCGUUAGAUGGGCGUAUGUACAUAAAUCAGUAUACAUUUUUUUUUAUUUGUAGAAGUUGAAUCAAAGUCUGCAAGCUGUAUUGCGGUCUUCCUUUCAGCACAGUAUUUCGGGAAAAUAUUUCCAUGUCAACACACACCUAUCGGUCAUGGUUUGUAACGAUCGCUACGGUGUUCAGAAUUCCCACACCAUCCCAUCCUGGGUCCAAGUCUCAUGAAGUCAGGGACCGUGCGUGUCCCGUUCAUUGCAGCGUCCCUAACAUCGGGCAACGUCUAGAACGUAAAAGAGCCUAAUAAUGUGCGAUUUUUGGAUUUUCAUGUGUCUUUACAAUCUUUACUCUCAUAAACAAUGUCGCUGUGGAGAAACACGUGCACAGAUGCUUGCAAACUCUUUGGUAAUGUUUUUAGAUUAGAUGCCGAAAAAUUAAAAUGCUAAGUAAAAAUGUACGUUCUUUUCAAGGCUUUUUAUAUCAAUUGGCAACUGCCCUUCAGAAGACUUUUUUAUUGCCAAUUCAUAGUCUGACUGAAAAUAGAUGAGAACGCCAUUUUUCUCACAUCCUUGCCAACCCUACGCAGGAACAGUAGUUUGCAAACAUGAUACGUGAAAAAGUAAUCUCACUUAAAUAUAUAUAUAUAUAUAUAUCAAAUUAUAUAUAUAUAUAAUUUGAUUACUAGUAAGAUGAAAUAUCUUUUCAUAUUUUAUUGAUGUUGAUCACUAGUAUUUUUUUUGUGUGAAUUUCUUGAUUACAUCUUUUGUUCUCUCUCAUUUCGUAUUUGUCUUUUCCUUAUUUAUAACUUUUCACUUAUAAAAAGCUUUCGGCAUUUGGUCUAGGCAGUAAACGUUAUAGUUGCUUCUGUGACAUUCAUUUCACCCAUCCCCAAUUGUAUAGCACUUAACGUGGUUUGGAAUGGAUCAACCCCACUUUCAGGUCUAGGGGUAGACUCCGAUUGGUCUACACUCCAGAGGAUAAUUCCAUCUUCUGCCCUUGGUGAUUCAAUCAGGAGCUGGCCCCUAAUUCAGGCCUAGGCCAAUCAGUGAUUCGUUCAGAGGUGGCUGGUAAUAGCAGUCCCAUGGAGGAAUACUAAAGACAGUGCAAUAACUACACCCUACACACAGAGAGAGGCACUAGCCCGAGCUUAACUGGAUAGGUGAUGGAAAUAAUCCCUGAACAGAGUGAUUGAGUUUAGGAGUAAUCAGAAGUGAACUUAAGACACGUUUAAUAUUAUGGGAAGUAGAACAAGUUCUAUCCUGGCAGUUAACAAAAAAUCCUACAGCCCCACUUGCAAGGCACAACUAUCUUAUGAAUAUGAAGAAAGCUAUCCUGAGGAUGAAGUCAGCACCAGAAAGAGUAUGGAAUCAAGAGAAACACAGAUAAUCGGAUCCAGGGCUCUGCUAUAACUGUGCAACUCAACUAAGAAACUCAAACUAAGAAAAUAGACUUUUCUAAAAGUAUUUUAAGGCAGCUUAAGAAUAGAUGAAGGUAAAAAAAACUAUUUUACUUACUCUCUUUUUUUAAAUUGACAUCCAAGUUAGUCAGCAUAUAGUGCAGCAAUGAUUUCAGGAGUAGGUUCCAGCGAGUCAUCUCCUGCGUAUAACAUCCAGUGCUCAUCCCAACAAGUGUCUUCCUUAAUGCCCCUUACCCAUUUAGUCCGUCCCCCCACCCACAACCCCUCCAACACCCCUAAGUUUGUUCUCUAUGUUUAAGAGUCUCUUACGUUUAAUUGAUCUAUUAUAACUGUUCAAAGUAAUAAUACUGACAACAUAUUAGACAAUUAAAGCGUCCGGAUAAAGUGAAAUGAAAGGCAGCAAUGUUAGAAGGGACAGGAGGGAGGAAUUGAGAACAUUCUGUUAUGUGACCUUCGCUAUCCACGAAGUGAUAGAGUGUUAUCUGCAAGCUGACUUGGGUCAGUUGUAAAUUUAUAUUGUAACCCCCUGGGCAAACACUAAAACAAUUUUUGAAAAGUAGAAUCGAUAUGGUGAGAGAGGAGAGAAAGUGGACUCAUUAAAAUGUUCAGGUAAAAUCCGAGAAGGCAGAACAAGAUGGGAAGGGGGGACGAGACACAAAAAUAGUGCAACUUGUAGGAAACAGUUAGAAACAUGGUAGGUAUUAAUAAAAUAUAAGAAUAAUCACUUGAAAUACAGAUGGUCUAAAUACACCAAUUAAAAGAGACAUACUGACACAGUGGAUAAAAAAAGACCCAGUGAUAUGUUGUCUAUUAACAAAGUACACUGAGAGAGUGUGGAUAUUUCAGUGGAAGAGGAAAAACUAAAAUGAACUCAGGGAAACAUAUGUGAACAACUGAAAUAGAUAAACCUAUUAAAAAGGACAUGCAGUUAACAUUAACCAAAAGCAAGAGGAAAACGAAUUUAUGAAAAGUAAAAGAUCUUUGUAAAGUGAUGUUGAUCAUCUCCAGUCUGAUACACAGAUAAAUUUUUAAAAAUAAGCCUUUUGCAACAUUUAUUAGUGAAAAAAUUCCCCACUAUCCAAGCCUCCCAAAUGAAAAACCAUCUGCUGCACAGCAACCACAGGUGGCAUGCUUGAGAGGUAAGAAAUACUUGACAAUAGCAAAGCCAGUUUCUUAGCUUAGGAAAGCAAUUGAAGAAAGUAUGGAAUUUGGAAAAGACACACGAAUGCAUUAAAAAGAGUCGUUAAAAAAAUCCUACCUCCUGGUAAAAGAUUACAGUAAAACCUCGGCUUGCGAGUAGCUUGUUCUGCGAGUGUUCUGCAAGAUGAGCAAACAUUUCUAAUAAAUUUUAACUUGAUAAAUGAGCGAUGUCUUGCAUUACAAGUAGUACAUGAUGCCGAACAUCACAUGAUCACAACUGAGCCAAUGGUUCCUCUCUCUCUCUCUCUCUCUCACUCUCUCUGCGGGAUCGUGAGUGAUCCCCCCCGCAUGCUUGGAUGCUCAGUCUCAGGCGUGGUGUUUGGCAGAAAUCAGUGAUUUUUCAGAACGCUGGAAAGCGCCCACACCUGGUACUGGUGUAUUUUUUGUCCCUUCAAGGCACCUGUGGACAGUCCUUUGCUUUUCCACCCAAGAGUGAGCUUAGGAAUGCUCUGCUUCAUUCUAGGCCUGGCUGCCCGCAGAUAGAGACCCUUUCCUCUGCUGCCUUAUUGCCAGUUACAUUCAAUACAGCGUGUGACCAGAGUUUAUUAAUACCAUACCGUAGUCAACAUCCGUGCGAGUGUAUUACAAUGGCCCCCGUGCAGAAAAAGGUUCCAUCGAGCCAAUAGAUAAGUGAUUCCAUUCGUGACAGUGAAAGUUGUCCUACACAAUCACCCUCCUCUCUCUUGUCUCUCUCGCACCAGCCACGAAGGUUUUUGCAGGUUAAAUGCAGGUUAAUUUGGCUUUAUUUAUGUUUUGCAUUUUCUUUAUCAUUUUGUAUCCUAUUACAGUCUUGUAAUCAUUUUAUAUGAAUAUUUUUGGGUUGUGGAAUGAAACAUGUGAGGUUCCAUUAUUUCUUAUGGGAAAUUCGCUUUGAAACUACCAGUGGUUUGGAUUACGAACAUGUUUGUGGAACAAAUUAUGCUCGCAAACCAAGGUUUUACUGUAUUGUGUUUUUAUUUUUGUUUCUUACUAUAAGCUCAUUUUAAAAUCGAGAUGAUUAGAAUUUAUGGCAUGGAGUUUCUCCUCAUUUGUAUUUCAAGAUUUUCUGCUUGUUCUAAUUUGAUGUUUCCCAUUUAAAACAACUAGCUUUAUUGUGAUCCCAUGGCCUUCAUGAAGUAUUUUUGCACAUCUUUAUUGAUGUAAAUGUUUUUCCAUAUAUCUUAUUUUUUACUUUUUAUUUAGUGUGCAAUUUGAAGGAUUUUAAAGUUGGAUAAAAUAAAGUCAAAUUAAUCGAUGCAUCCAAGAAAUAUUUGUUGAAUACCUCUUUUGUGCCUUAUAUUCUACUGGACACUUACAUCAGUAAGCCCAAUAAAGAAAAACUCCUGUUUUAGUCGAAGUACAUUGGAGAGAGUUAAUAUCUUAUAUGUUACUCAACAGUCUUAUAUAUUAUUUAUAAUUAUCCUCUUGAUAAUUAUAUUAGGUAUUUUAAAAAUAUUUUAUAUAAGGAAACUGAGUCCUAGAGAGGUCAAGUGACCUGUGAACAUCACAUGACUAAUAAAAAGCUGGGCCAAGUUUGUAACCCAAUUUUGCCUUUGACUUUCAGGAUAACUUCAGGAAAUAGCAUUGUUCCUGUUACAGGAAUGAUGAUGCUAUAUUUGAGUGAAGAAUGUUUCUGAAAGCAAACGGGAAAAUGACCAAGCACAGUCACUGAGCCCCAGCCUGCAUGUUUAAUCUUUUAGGAUUUAAUGAGCAUUUGCUGAUUUCUGAUAAAUCUCCCUUUCUUCCAGUACUUAGGACAGACAUAACCUGUUCAGAUGCUGGAGUUUGUAUGAAGAUCAGAAUAGUUCAGGCAUUAUGACGCAAUAUUUGGGUAGGGUCUUUGUUUACAGAGAUCCUAACGUAAAUAGUUGACUGUAGUGGAUCUUAAAUCCUAAGUAAAAAGCCCUUAGGACCAAAAUAUAUGAGAAUAAAACAAAGCUAUUCAUUUUCUUAUAACAGGUCAGGUUCUCAUCAGAAAACGUUUUUUUUCUAAUAAUGCAUCCCUUUGGGACAAUGCAAAAAGUGAGAAUUUUAGAGGAAUUGUAUAGCUUGUUAUUAUAGAGUUAAAUGUAUCUCUAUUUUUCUAUGAUGUCCUUCUUUGGGGGAGAGUUAGAUCCUAGUGUGUUGGUCACACAGUGUGAGGUACACUAAUAAAUAGUGAAAAGUUCUUGAUGCAGUUUCCUAUGUUUUGUUUUACGUGGUUUCCCUUGAACGAUUUCUUUCUCUCAUAUGGAUUUAGUGUCUUACUAUCCUUGAAUAACCCCUGCUCUGAGUUGUCUGCUGAGCUCUGAGACCAUAUUUUUCAGCUACUAGCUGGACAUCCCCACUUGGGUGAUGCAGUGGCAACUAAAACUCCAGUAAGACUGGAAGCGAAUUAAUUUUCUUCUGUGCACAUGUCCUCCCUCGUAUUAACGUAAACCAGUUAAUGUCUCCACUAACUACACUCCAUCUCCCGGGAGAGAUAUAUAAAAGCCAUCCUUAGCUCCUUGCCCUUUUUAAUCACCCAUUGUCAAUAGAUCUUGUCAAUUCCAUUCCCAUAACUCAAGGGUGCCCCCUCUAACACAUCCACAAUGCUUGAGUUCAUGCGCUACUGAGCUCUUGGCCAAACUUUUGAAAUAUGAACAUAGCAUGGUUGUGAUUAACCCAAAUAAGCACAACAGUGCAGCUAGGAAGAGGUAUGCGUGCAAUUAAUGAGUCUGAUCGUUGACUAUAUAAUAUAAUCUGGAUAAGGAGGCAUCUGAGGAUGUAAGUGGGUGGCAGAAAUCCAAAGAGUGUAGGUUCAGUGUAUUAGAGAUGCUAGAGGGGGGUCAAAGAAUAUUUUAGAUGUGGUACCAAAGAGAGCAAGUUGGACAGUUAGAAGGUCGUGGUCAAGGAAUGGGAUUAUGAAGGAGUGUAGUUAUUGCAAAUGAUAAAGCCUAGGAUGUGGCCAUAGGUGUGACUGACUAUGAGGAAGAGAAAAGCAAGUUCACUGGAGGAAAGGAAAAGGAAAUGAGAAAACAGAGGACUGGUAGGACCAUCUGUAUUUAUACCGAAAUUCCCCAGAAUUAGGGCAUGAGUUGAGUUGGAGAGAGGGACAGGGAGUCAAGGGUCUGUAAACACCUCUAACAAGGGGGGACGAUGGGGUCUAUGCUGUGGAAAGAUGAGAUCUUUUGCACACAGUGGUGUUUAUGUUGGUGGUGAUAAUUUCCAGAGGAUCCAGCGAAUGAGUUUCGGGAGUUGAGGAGAGGUGGGAGAAAUAGAAAAGAAGAAGCACUAUACCUUUUAGAGUCCAGGAGAGAAAGGACGAAUGACUCAGGACUCUUAGCUUCUUGUGGUAACUGGCACAAAUAUAUAUAUAAAACAAGAUGAAAUCUAUGCUUUUAUUUUGGUAAAAAACACAUAACAUGAAAUCUAACCUCUUAACAAAUUUUAAAUUUCUAGACAGUCUUGUUUACUAUAUACACACUUUUGUACAACAGACUUCUAGAACCUUCUCACCUUGUAUGGCUGAAACUCUGUGCUUAUUGAACAGAAACUUCCCAUUUUGCAUUACCCCCAAUCCCUAGCGACCAUCAUUCUUACUUUCUGCUUCUCUGAGUUUGACUACUUCAAUUACUGCAUGAUUCCACUUGUCCUUCUGUGGCUGGCUUAUUUCACUUAGCAUAAUGUCCUCAAGUUUCAUCCACGUUGUAGCACAUGACCAGAUUUCCUGCUUUUUAAAAGCUGAAUAAUAUUCCAGUGUAUGCAUAUGCCACACUUUCUGUAUCCAUUCACCCAUCAAUGGACAUUUAGAUUGUUUCUACCUCUUGUCUAUUGUAAAUAAUGCUACAAUGAACAUGGGAAUGCAAAUGUCUUUUUGCGAUCCUGAUUUCAAUUAUUUUGGAAAAAUACCCAGAAUUGGAUUGCCAAAUCAUAUGAUAGUUCCAUUUUUAAUUUUGUGGGGGGGCUCUAUAUUGUUUUCCUGUUUUCCAUAGUGGCUGCACCAAUUCGCACUCCCACCAGCUAUGUACAAGGGUUCCAAUUUUUCCACAUUCUUGCCAACACUUGUUAUUUACUGUUUAAGAUAUGUAUUUAUAUAUUUAUAUAACUAUACUCAUAACUCUAUCUAUCUGUAAAAUGGCCAUUCUUGUAUGUGUGAGGUGGAAUAUUUCACUGUGGUUGUGAUUUGCAUGUGAUGUUGAACAUCUUUUCCUGCAUCUUUUGAUCAUUUUUUAAAAAUGUUUUUCCAGGGGUGCGCCUGGGUGGCUCAGUCGGUUAAGCGUCCGACUUCGGCUCGGGUCAUGAUCUCGCGGUUUGUGUGUUCGAGCCCUGCAUGGGGCUCUGUGCUGACAGCUCGGAGCCUGGAGCCUGCUUCAGGUUCUGUGUCUCCCUCUCUCUCUCUCAAAAAUAAGUAAACAUUUAAAAAUUUUUUAAAAUAAAAAAUACAACAAAAAUAAAUAAUUUUUCCAGUUUUAUUGACAUAUAAUUGAUAUAUAGCAUUGUGUAACUUUAAGGUAUACAGAGUGUUGAUUUGAUGCAUGUAUAUAUUGCAAAAUGAUUACCAGUAUAGUCUUAGCUGGCCCCGACAUCAUGUUACACAGUUACCAUUUCUUCUUUGUGAUAAGAACUAUUUAUUUAUUAAUAACUCUCUACCUUUUGAUCCCCUUCAACUAUUUCUCAUCUCCCACCCCUUGUCGUUGUCAGCACCAAUAUGUUCUCUAUAUCUAUGAGCUUGAUGUAUCUGUUUGUUUAGAUUCUACAUAUAAGAGAGAUCAUUAUAGCAUUUGUCUUUCUCUGUCUUUGGUAUAAGGCUCUCGAAAUUCACUCAUGUUGUGAGAUCUCAUCUCUUAGCGGCUUUCAGGUAUAUAAUCCAGCACUGUUAUCUACAGUCACCAUACCAUACAUUGGAUUUCCAGAACUUGUUAAUCUUAUAUACCUGAAGUUUGUACCCUUUGACCAACAUCUCCCCAUUUCCCCCACCCCUAACCCCUGGCAACCAUCACUCCGCUCUCUGUCUCUAUCAGUUUUGAAUUUUUGGAUUCCACAUAUAAGUGAUAUCAUACAGUAUUUGUCUUUCUCUACCUGACUUAUUUUACUCAGAGUAAUGUCCUCAAGAUCCACCCAUAUCGUUGCAAAUGACAGAAUUUCUUUCUUUCUGAUAGCUGAAUGAUAUUCCAUUCUAUGUGCAACAUGUACAAUAUAUAUAUAUAUGUACAUAUAUAUAAUAUAUAUAACAUAUCACUAUACACAUAUAAAACAUUUUCUUUAUCCAUUCAUCUAUUGAUAAACACUUAGGGUAAUUCCCUAUCUUGGCCGUUGCGAAUAAUAUUGCAAUAAACAUGGGAGUUCAGAUGUCUCUUCAAGAUCAAGAUUUAAUUUUCUUGGGAUCUAUACCCAGCAGUGGAAUUGCCAGAUCAUAUGGUAGUUGCUAUUUUUCAUUUUUGAGGACGCUCCAUAUUGUUUUCCAUAAUGGCCACACCGAUCUACACUCUCACCAGCGGCACACAAGGGUUCCCUUUUUCCACUGUCGCUAGCAUUUGUUAACUAUUGUGCUUUUCAUAAUAGCUGUCCUAACAGGUGUGAUGUGAUACCUCGUUGGGGUUUUGAUAUGCAUUUUCCAGAUGAUUAGUCAUAUUGAGCAUCUUUUCGUGUACCUGUUGGCCAUUUGCAUGUCUUCUUUGGAAAAUGUUUACUCAGGUCCUUUGCUCGUUUUUUUUUUUUAUUUUUUUAUUUUUUUUUUUAAAUUUUUUUUUUCAACGUUUAUUUAUUUUUGGGACAGAGAGAGACAGAGCAUGAACGGGGGAGGGGCAGAGAGAGAGGGAGACACAGAAUCGGAAGCAGGCUCCAGGCUCUGAGCCAUCAGCCCAGAGCCCGACGCGGGGCUCGAACUCACGGACCGCGAGAUGGUGACCUGGCUGAAGUCGGACGCUUAACCGACUGCGCCACCCAGGCGCCCCCCUUUGCUCGUUUUAAAAUCGGAUUUUUUUUUUCUUGUUUUUGUUUCUUUUGCUAUGGAGUUACAUGAGUUAUUUACAUAUUUUGGAUACUAACCCCUCAUCAGACAUACGAUUUGCAAAUAUUUUCUCCUAUUCUGUAGGUGGCCUUUUCAUUUUGUUGUUUCUUUCGCCGUGCAGAAGCUUUGUAGUUCAAUGUACUUCUACUUUUCUAUUUUUGCUUCUGUUGCCUGUACUUUUGGUAUCACAUACAAGAAAUCAUGGCUAAGACCAACCUUAUGAAGUUUCCCCUAUGUUUUCUUCUAGGAGUAUUAUAGUUUCAUGUCUUACAUUUAAAUCUUGAAUCAGUUUUUUUUAAAUGUUUGUUUAUUUUGAGAGAGAGAGAAAGAGACAGAGCAUGAGCGUGAGCGGGGCAGGGGCAGAGAGAGGGAGACACUGAAUGCGAAGCAGGCUCCAGGCUCUGACCUGUCAGCGCACAGCCUGCCAUGGGGCCCGAACUCACGAACGGCGAGAUCAUGACCUGAGCUGAAGUCAGCGGCUUCACCGACCGAGCCACCCAGGCGCCCCAAUCUUUAAUCAAUUUUGAGUUCUUUUUGUGUGUGGUGUAAGAUAAGGCUCUAAUUUUAUUCUUUUGCAUGUAGAGAUCCAGGUUCCCAACACGAUUAGUUGAAGAGCAGGCAGGAUGACAUGGAAUCAUGAUGAUCACAAGGCAGGAAGAGGUGACAAGCCUAUAGGAAAGGCGUGGGGGUCAGGGGACUUGCCAGGAGCAGGUAGAAUUCUGGAGCUCCCACUUGAUUCCUGAUGAUGGAGGGGUGGAGUCCUGCAGAGGGCUGUUUAUCACUCUCAGCACAUAGGCUGCCUCUGGACCUCUGCUGAAAAAAGCGUCAGAGCCAGCGGUGUGGUGCUGUCAUCGUGAGUCCACGAGCACUUUGUUGGGCUUUGCCUUUGUUCCUGCAAAGGAGUGGUAUUCAUGCAAGGACAUGGAGUUCGUCUUGACUUCCGGUCAAAGAAACCUCUGAUUUAAAUAACUUUCACCUCUUCUAUGUCAAUUAUUCUUCGAUAUUAAUUAAUGAAGUCAAUUAGUAUCCUCUAACUCCUACCCAUUCUUCAGUUUGUCCAUGUUAUUUUAUUACAUUUUCAAAACAGAUUCUUAGAUGUAAUUUGCAGGAUAGAGUGAUUCUCUCAGCCUUAUACGCCUAGAUAACUCUACUUCUGAUAAGAAUUUACAUCACAGCGUUGAUUUUUUAAAAAUUUACCCCUCUGAGGCGUGUUUCUGGUAAGCCGCGUAUUCAGGUAACGAUCAUAUAGGCGGCAUGUAGUAAACAGUAAAAUAAAUGAGUAGAGAGAAUAAAAAAUUAACACUUAGUGGGUAAUUGAGAAAAAGACUUUGGGAGGUGGCAGUUAGACUGCGCUUGGAAGAAUGUUAGGUUUGGGCUCGCGGAGGAUAGCAUGGAUAUAGGUGCAGAGGCAAACAGAGGAGUCUCAGGGAAAUCAUUGCAUUAGUCAACUUUUCUGGAGCAUAGGUUGCUUGAGUAGGGGUUGUUAUGGAUGUGGCUAGAAAGAGAAGUUGAAGCCUGUUCACAGGCGAUCUUUCGUAUUAGUCUAAAGCGUUUGCACCAUACUUUGUAACUGCUAAGGAGCAAAUGAUAGCUUUUGCAAUAGGAAAUGACAUGUCUAAUAUGCUAUCCUGUGCACGGGGAAAUACACCCAUUUGAUACUGAUCUUUUGUUGUAGUUGUUCUGUUUGGCUAUAUGUUUUCUCUGUUCAUGGCUUCUUAUUCACGUUUUCCUGUUUUAGUCCCAUGUAUCCCCGGAUCCUUUGUAAAGUGCAAGCAUCCCCAGUUCUUGGUGGAAUAUGACAAAGUAUCCACACACAUUUAAGUACAUACCAGGGCGGGGCUCGUUUGGGAAACAAGGCACUUUAAUAUUUGCUUUUGGUCAACCUCAGCUCUCGAGGCACAGAAAGCUGUUACCUUCCACUUUAACUGUAAACAGGCCAGCAAUUCCCACAGCAGAGCAUUCAAGUGCAAAGGUGUCAAAUGGUUAUAAUGUAUGCAGAUCAGGGAUAAUAACAUUGGCCUGCCCAUAGACAUAAGCUCUCUCUGUCCAUAUCAGCCUGGUAGCCGCUUGAGAGAAUCGAUUUUCUACAAACAAGGCAUGAAAGUGCUCCCACUUCCUUUGAAAGGACAGCACAGCCGGGGUGCCGUUCACUCUUAUUGAUUUUAAAUCACAUUCAAUGACUGACUUUGAAUCAUCAACUGGGUUUCCCUGGAGUUAAAGUGCCAGAAAGAUUUAAUUAGAGAGCUGCAGUCCAGAUAAAAGAUAACCAUAUCAUCGACUUAAAAUCUGAACUGAGCUUCUCUUUUGAUGCUGAUGGGUGAAAAAAAAAAAAUCCGUGUUUUAGUUUUUUUCUAAAAUGUUUUCUGAGGUCGUGCAGGCUUCUUGAGGUCAGGGACUCUGCCUUCGAUAUCUCCGUAUCUGCAAAGCUUAGCAGAGGAUCUGGUGUUAAGUGGGCACUCUGGAAAAGUUUUCGCUUUAUUUCAUUGAAGUGUCCUUUACUUUUUAAAAAAAAAAUUUUCAAAAUGAAGUUAACAUCAGAUUGUAUAUUCCACACUCUAAAACAAUUUACAAAAUGUCCAGAAGCCUGUAAAUAUCUUGCCUUUAAGGCUUAAUAAGGGCAGGAAGUAUCUUGCUAUAUUUUUUAAUGUUUAUUUUAUCUUUGAGAGAGAGAGAGAGAGAGAGAGAGAGAGAGACAGCAUGCAUGCGAGUGGGGGAGGGGCAGAGAGAGAAGGGGACAGAGGUUCUCUGCUGAGCCAAAGUCGGUCCCUCAACCAACUGAGCCACCAAGGCGCGCCCUAGUGUAUCUUGCAAUUAGAAUGUGAAACAGGAAAAAGGUUUCUGAUGUCACCAGGGAAUGAUUUCAGCUAUAAACCUCAGCAAUGUUUGUGGUUCUUACCACGCUAUUAUAUUUUUCAUCCAUAAUGUAUACAUUAUAUAGAGUUUAUGGAGCUGUGGGAAAAUGUCUUUGGGAUAAAUUCUCACAGACAGAAUUGUUGGGUUGUAAGGUUUGCAUAUAUUGAAUUGACUAGCUAGUGUCAGAUUAUUCUCAAUAACGUUCCUUCCUAUCAACACUGUAACAUCCCAACAAGUCAACUAGUACUUGACAUUAUCCAGCUUUCUGAUUUUUGCCAGUCUGAUAAUAAGUGCGUCAUUAUUUCAUUUUCAAUUUCCUGAAGUAUUUGAGAUGCCCUGGUUUAUACACGGGGAAGCUGAGGCCCAGCAAGGGGAAGCCCUUUGCCCAAAGGCACACGGCUAGAUGUGUGCUGUCGGGUAAUAGAAUGGAUUUGCUCAUCUCACUUGGAGUCUGGGUGACCUUUUCAAAGAAUUUCCUUCUGUGGGGAAUCGCGUUACACAGAAUCCUGCUCAAGUUCCUCCGUUGUCAAUAGCCUACCAGUUCUAGAUUCACACAGUCAUCACUCUUCUAAUAUGCUUAAGAUCUUCUCAUUCAUGGGGCGCCUGGGUGGCUCGGUCAGUUAGGCGUCUGACUUCGGCUCUGGUUAUGAUCUCAAGGUUCAUGGGUUUGAGCCCCGCGUCAGGCUCUGUGCUGACAGCUCGGUGCCUGGAGCCUGCUUCGGAUUCUGUGUCUCCCUCUCUCUCUGCCCCUCCCCCGCUCACACUCUGGGUCUCUCUCUCUCUCAAAAAUAAAUAAACAUUAAAAAAAUUUAAAAAGAAAAAGAUCUUCUCAUUCGUUCCAGGAUGGAACUUGCAAGUUAGUAGUUCCAGAACAACCAGGUGGAGCUCUCCAUUUGGCAGAGAGGGGGAAAAACUGGCUGUUUGAUUAUGGGCAAAUAACAUAACUUCUGUGCAUCUCAACUGAUCCUUCUGCCAAAUGAGGACAAUCAAAUCCAAGUCAUGCAGAAUUGGGGGAGAUUAGAUGCGUAGUCAUGUAUAAAAAAUUCCCUAGCACAAAUCACAUCUGAUAUAUCACAAACAGUAAAUAAGUGGUUUAUGAUAUGUUUGUUAUUAUCUUAAUACCUUCAACACGGUAUCAGCACAAGCUUAUUUUCCUGAAAUAAAUAGGCAUUAAUUUUAAUAUAUGUAAAGCAUAUUUAUUAUAAAAGUCUAAAUGAACACAAACGUGUACAAUUUUUUAAGAAAAAUCAAAUUAGUUCCCAGUCACACUUCUCAGAGGUAACCCUAGUUCUUAAAGACCUUUUUCUUUGCAUACACAUUUAGAUUUACUGUUAACAAAAAUGGGAACAUUUUACACAUAUUUUCUGCAAUUUGACUUUUUCCUUGUCUAACUAUUUACAUCUUCAUUUAAAAGCCUUGCCUUCUGUGCCAUGGUUAUACCCAGAGGUUAGGCCAGUCGAUAUCUAAUAACUGGUUCCCUAGAAUAAAAAGGCCCUCAUCUGUACCAUUUCCCCUUUUCUGUGUUGCAAAUACCCCCACGGUUGAAUUCAGGCAACCACCGCAACAUCACUGAAUGCAGUAUUAGGAAGAAACGCUUAUUAUCAGCUCUUCCAAAGUGGUAUGAUAACCCUCCGGCACACCACUGGCUGUACUAUCAUCUUUUUAAAAGGGAUGUUUUCGUAAGCAACUUCUAAACAAAAGAGACAGAUUCUCUUAGGAUAGACCAAAAUUAUUAUGGUGUGGAACAGUAAAAGGAUUUCUCUUUGAAAAUGGAAGCAAGUACAUGAAUAACAAGUCUAUAUUUUCUCAAGAACAAUCUUUAUAAAAUGGCACAAGAAGCAUAAAAUAUAAGAUCUUACGGUUCAUAAAAGCACAUAACAAAUACCAUAUCAACGUCAUUUUACGAGAAACUUAAGUAUGCACACAUAUACACACAUUUAGAUGAACAUUCAAAGUUGUAUUUCGAUAAAUACUAGUUAAAUAUAAAGCCGACCAUGAUAAUUUUUCAAGUUUAUUUAUUGGUUUUUGAGAGAGAGAGAGAGAGAGAGAGAGGAAGCAGGGGAGAGACAGAGAGAGAGAGAGAGGGAAUCCCAAGCAGGUUCUGCACUGUCAGCACAGAGCAAGAUGCGGGGCUCGAACUCAUGAACUACGAGAUCGUGACCCGAGCCAAAAUCAAGAGUCAGAUGCUUAUCCUACUGAGCCAUCCAGGUUCCCCGACCAUGAGAAUUCUUAUCGACAGGCAGCAGGAUUAUUGGUCAUUUUAAUUUGUCUUGAAGCUUCUGCAUUUUCAAAAUAUUCUACAAAAAUCUCAUUAUGUUUGUAAUUUAUAUUCAUGGUUAAAAAUGAAAUUCCACUUUUAUGAUCAGAUUCUGCAGUCCUGGAGUACCCCACUUUUAAAAAGUGUUAGAAAUAUAAGGCAAGCAAAGCGCCGUAAGGACUCUGUGUAACUAGUCACUGAGAUAAUAUAUAAUUAUUUAGCCACCGAAUGUCCAAGGUCGAUUGUUUAAAUUUGCUAGCAUUUAGGGGCACCUGGGUGGCUCCGUAGGUUAAGCGUCCGACUUUGGCUCAGGUCACGAUCUCACGGUUCGUGAGUCUGAGCCCCGCGUAGGGCUCUGUGCUGUCAGUGCAGACCCUGCGUCGGAUCCUCUGUCUCCCUCUCUCUCCGCCCCUCCUGAGCUCGUGCUCUGUCUCUCUCAAAAAUAAACAUUGAAAAAUAAAUCCUGGUUUACUGCCAGCACCACUACUCCUUACAUCCCCUCCUUAUAUACUAAUACGUGAUAGUUACGAAUAAAUGCAAUUUAAUUACACAGGCAUGUACUAAAAUAUUAAAUGAAAUGGGUAACCUUCAGAGGCAGCUAAUGUCCACUGAGCAAUUUCAAUUUGCCCAGUAGACAGUAAGUACUGAAUAAAUGUUAGCUUCCGCUUGUGUUGUUCCAUCAUUUACUUCAAACUCUAGGCACAACUGUAGUCAGUAUCCCAUUAGCCAAACAGGAACCAUUCUAAGUUUUUCAGACAGGAAGGCAUUUAUUGCAGUAAAUUAGUUCUUCUCCAAGCCGUUGCGAGGGAUAAGACUGCCACUUAGUGACAAGAACUUCAUUUACCCUCCUAUGGGGAACAACUAAAACGAAAACCAAAACAGACGAAGUAUAUCGAGUAUCGGUGUGCAGGCCAUUGGCCGUUGGCUAACGAAGGCCAGCGAUGUCCGUGAGACGGGAUAAAAACAAGGUGUGCCCCAGGAGGACCCCACUUACCACCUGGAUUGACUUUCCGGGUCGCGGUGCCGGAACAGGAAACCCGGGAAGACCCCGGUGGCUCCCCCGAGGCGAAGAGGCAGAGCUGGGAGUCCAGGCUGAUCAGGGCGGCUGGAGUUCAGGGGGCAGAGCACCAAGAGGGGAAGGAGUUGAGGCGGGUAGAGAAGGGGAGAAGGAGAGAGACAGAAUGAGAGAAGGCCAGGGAUCUACAGCUGCCCCCCUGCAGUCCUCGGCAGACCACUCCUUGGCCCUCGUGAGCAAAUGUGGGUGAAGGAACUACCCUAGGCGAGGAAGGAACGACCCCAGGGGUUUCGGGGGAACAAUGCUCAGGGCUCCAACAGGGCUGAGAAUAGCGUACACGGUGUUCUGUGAUAACACGAGGUAGUGCACGCAGGGGGGUUUGCAGCCGGGGUUGGGGAAAACUACCCUAGACCGAAUAUUACUCUGGUCCCAUCGGACAAAGCUUAAAAGCGACACCCGAAAAUAUUGAAGUGUUUCCUAGGCGCUCACGAAACAAGCCAACCCCGUGUGUCUUUACCUUUAAAAUCUUUGUCAUAGCAUUGUGUAUUUAAGAAUUUCCUGUUUGUUUAUUUAUUUAUUUAUAAUAAUAUUUAUUGAUUUUUGAGAGAGAGAGAGAGAGAGAGAGUGCACGUGGGGGAGACCCAGAAGCCGAAGCAGGCUCCAGGCCCCGAGCCGUCAGCCCAGAGCCUGACGCGGGGCUCGAACUCACGGACCGCGAGAUCAUGACCUGAGCCGAAGUCGGACGCUUCACCGACUGAGCCACCCAGGCGCCCCUGGACUCUCCUGUUUAAAUGUGGGAUGUGUGUAUCACAUAUAUGACCUGCGGGAUUGUAGACUGGAAGUGUUUUGGAAGUCAUCCCAAACAAUUCCAAACCAUUAGGCCAGCAGUGUAACAGGGCCUUUUCCAAAUUAAGUCCGUUGCAGAAGACAAUGAUUUUUUUAAAGGAUAAGUACUAAAAAUGAGCUGUUUGGAAUAUUACAUAAACUUUUUUUUGCAUUUUUACUGUGGUAAAAAUAAAGUAAAAUUCCCCCCCCCCAACCAUUUUCAUUCACACCGCACUUAUUGCCAUUAUCCAUUUCCAGAACUUUUUCAUCAUUCCAAACAGAAACUCUGUACACAUCAGGCAGUAACUCCCCAUUCCUCCCUCCCCAAGCCCUGGGUAAUUUCUAUUCUACCGUCUGUAUUUAUGAAUUUGCCUGGUCUAGGUGCCUCAUAUAAGGGGAAUCAUACAAUUUUUGUCAUUUUGUGCCUGGCUGAUUUCACGUGGCAUGACGUUUUCCAGGUUUGUCCAUGCUGUAGCAGGUGUCAAAAUUUCCUUCCUUCUCCGGCCGAAUACUCUGCCAUUGCACGUAUGUGCCAUGUUUCAUUUAGCCGUUCACCCGUUGACGGGCCCUAUGUUGUUUUCACCUUUUAGCUAUCGUGAAUGUUGUUGCUGUGAAUGCUGGUGUGCAAGUAUUUGAGCAUAUAAUUUUUUUGAGUAUAUAAUUAGGAGUUGCUGGGCCAUAUGGUCAUUCUAUGCUUACUUUUUUGAGGAACCACCAAGCUGUUUUCCACAGCGACCGCACCAUUUUCCUUCCCAUCAGCAGUUCUUCUUCAUUUUUUCACACUAGCCAGUCUGGUGUGUGUGGAGUGGUACCUCACGAUUUGGACUUGCGUGUUUCUCUGACGACUAAUGACAUUGAGCAUCUUUUCAUGUACCUAUUGGCUGUUUGUACAUCUUCUUUGGGGAAAUAUAUAAAAAAAAAAUCCUUUGGCCAUCUUUGAAUUCAGCUUAGUUUUUGUUUAGUUGUAGAAUAAACCUAUACUUUUAAAACCUAAAUCACAACAAUGUUUAGAAUUUUAUCCAAAGGAUACAAAAAUACUGAUUUGAAGCACUAUCGACAAUAGCCAGAUUAUGGAAAGAGCCCAAAUGCCCAUCGACUGAUGAAUGGAUAAAGAAAAUGUGGUAUAUGGAAUACUAGUUGGUGAUGGAAAAGAAUGAAAUCGUACCUCUUGCAAAAAUGAGGAUGGAACUAGAGGGUAUUGUGCUAAGUGAAAUCAGUCAGUCAGAGAAAGACAAAUAUCACAUGACUUCACUCACGUGUGGAAUUUGAGAAACACAACAGAUGCACAUAGGGGAAGGGAAGGAAAAAAAAGAUAAAAACUAAGAGGGAGGCAAACCAUGAGAGACUCUUACAUACAGAGGACAAACUGAGGGUCGCUGGAGGGGAGGCGGGUGGGGGGAUGGGCUAAAUGGGUGAUGGGCAUUAAGGAGGGCGCUUGUGGGGAUGGGCACUGGGUGUCGUAUGUAAGUGAUGAAUCACUGGGUUCUACUCCAGAAGCCAAGAGUACACUGUAUGUUACCUAACUUGAAUUUCAAUUAAAAGAAUACAAUUUGACUUUAUUGAGGAAGAGUGUUUCGUCACUGUAGUUAUUUAGAAAUGCCCGGGGUGUGGGGAUAGUUAGAAGACCAGCCUUUACUUGGUUUUACAGUUGUAUUGAAACUCUGCAAAGAUCUUCCUUAUCACCUGUCCUGGGAGUGGAAUUCUCCCACCACCCCAUCCCCAGUUUCUUAGCAAGGAAGGAACCUAAUCAGUAUUGGAUUAGGUUCCCUCCAACCAUUAUUUCAGUCCUUGGGGGCGCCGACAGUGGCUUUCUGUAAGGUGAGCAUUUUGUGACUUCUGAGCACCUUUAGCUUACAGCGUACGGUGGUGGGGUGCAGAGAGCCCCAUGAUACGGUAGGUGGCCAGGAAGAGAUUGCUUUGCCUUUUGGGGGGAAAGUAUCAUAGUCACAGUCACCUUCCUCAUGUCAAACCCUCCUCCCAUCUGGGUUGUGGUAAUCUAGACCCUAAUGUUGCUCCUCACCCCCAAACAAAUGUAGUAACCUCACAUCCUUUUAUUCCUUGUCCCGGAGAUAAAGGGUUAAGCAGGGGUCUUUAUCUUCAGUGCUCAGUUCUAACCUGGUCCUUAUCCCUAAUGUCUGGCCAACUGUGGACCUGACGGUCUGGUCCCCCACUAUCCAGGGACCCCACAUCCCUCCCUUCUCACACGGAGAAUUCACAGAGACACACAAAAUACCAUCUUUUCACAACUUGAUUUUUAUUUUAAUCAUAGCCAUCAGUUUACCCUGCUCGUAGAAGACUCAGACUCUGUGUGGUUGGCCAUUUCCCAGAAACCAGGCCUCUGGAGACUCAACAGAUGUUUCUAAGGUCUUGGCCUUUUUUAUUCAGCUACUGGUCGCGCAAGUUAUGUGAAGUGGUGGGCUUCUCCGGGGUCUCUUGUUCUGGGACCUUUGGUCUUAUCUCUUAUUUUGAUUCCUUCUCUUACUUUGAUGCCAUUUCUAUCCAUCCUAUGGUAACAGAUGAAUAUUGUUGGCUUUAUGCUCUUUUAAGCUUUUUUGAAUGAGUGGUAGAUGUUUGAGAUUGCUUUUCUCAGGUUCCCUUGAAAGGGCCUUUUGAUCUUGCCUGGAAGGGCAAGAGAGUCAGCCCAGGGCACUACUUUGGAGAAAGAGGAUAGGACUAACUGGGAGGCGGGACAUCAUGAAGAAGGAUGUGGACCGAUCAGGGGUCUUGUGCCAGGCAAGGAGAGGGUAAAGGAUUUGGGAGACAAAGUCAAUAGGGGAAGAAGAAGAGCUUGCUUCAAGUCAUGUCACCUUGAUAUCAUCUUUGGACCUCGGUUGAUAGAGGGUCUUUCUCGUCUUCCUCCCUUUGGUCUUUGGAGUUUACUGUACUAUAAUUAUUCUAGGAUUCUAAGGUUUCCUGGUUGCCUUAGCCAUGAAGAAACCAAGAACUGGCCUAACUCAGAGCCUCUGACCUCCCUAUGUUUACCCUCCCCAGGACAACAAAGAGCCACAUUCUUCAGUUUGAUUGAUCAGCUAAGCACUACCCAAGCCAAUGGUGGCUUGGGGGCCUCAGGCAUCACAGGGAACCACUUUGGACAUCAACAUAGAGUGGUGGAUGCUGGGGAGGCCAUGAUAUGGCUUUGAAAUCACAAAGUACCACUCUUCACACCCCUGUGGGGGUGAUUCUGGGGAAGCUAAGGUUCUCUGGUUGGACAAAAGGGGCUUUCUUUAAGUCUUGAAAGAGCAUUCUCACACUGACCUGAUAACUUUCCUCAUAACUCCACAUUCAAUUCUGGAGGCUCACAGGGCAAAGAGAGGGUAUUUUCUCCAAGUCCUUCCCCAUGGCCACCCCAUUCCAUGAUUCAUUCUGUUCUCUCUCACCCUUCACCGUUACCUACCAUUUUGUAUAUCUUACCUAAAAUCUCCCCAGGCGAAUGUGGCCAUUUUUAAGUCUUUUUUUGUCUUGAGAGAGAGAGAGAGAGAGAGAUGGCAUGAGCAGGGGAGGGGCAGUGGGAGAGGGAGAGUCCUAAGCAGGCUCCAUACCCAGCACAAACCUGAAUAGGGCUCAAUCCCAAGACUGUGAGAUCAUGACCUGAGCCAAAAUCAAGAGCUGGACACUCAACCUACUGAGUCACCCACGUGCCCCAGUUUUAGGUCUUGACGGAGAUGUGGAUCAUCCUACUCCUCUCCUAUUAGAAUGGAUACAAUUAAAACGACAAUUACAAGGGUUGGUGAAGAGGCAGAGCAACUGGAAAUUUCUUCCAAAGUUGAACAACUUUUGGUCCUUAUGGUCUAGCCAUUGCACUCUUUUUUAAACAUGUUUGAUCUUAUUUAUUUGUUACUCUUAGAAAAUCUCAUUUUUGACUCAACUCAAACGUAGAGGUAGAAGUUCUCAGAGAGGACAGCGUCCGUCUCUUGGGAACUUAUCCCUGGCAUUCUUCUUUGGCCUCCUUCAUUCUCUUAGCCAAAAGUCUAGCACAUUCUGCAGCCUCUCCCUAUUUUUCUUAGUACGCCGUUUCUUCAGAAUGACACGUGAAAGUUUGUGUUGGAGGAUAUGUGGAGUAACAAGACGCCGAAUCUUGGGCACUUUGGUUCUAGGUUUCUUCCCUUUGCUUAGGGGCUUUCUCACAACAUACUGGUGGACAUCAUCUUCUUUACAGAGAUUGAAAGGUGUGCACAUUCUGCUAGGCUUUUUGGGCCCCAGGCGAUGAGGCACGGGGGCAUUGGUGCGUCCAGGAAUAUCCUUCUCCCCAUUGUUUUCACAAUGACCAAGUUGACAACACUGAGAUUGGCAUCCACAGUGCAACCCCAAACAGAUUUGCACUUUCUUUCUCCAGUCCUCCUUGGCCUAGGGCAGGAAUGCCCCUUACUCGGAAGCAUGUGGACACGGCCAUGGGUCAAGACACUCUGUUUCACGGGAAGCCUUGUUUGUCAUUGCCACCACGAAUUCAGGCCACAUAACUCUUCCACUCUUCACCCAGAACAUCAACAGCAACUUCUGUGGCCAUAUGCUUCUCAAAAACGGUAUGAAGUUGUGUUCAUUGUCCACUUCAAUGAGUUUCUGGCAGCCGAUAGCUGGGAAAGAGAUGUUCAACUUCAUCCUGAGGCAGCCUACUGCCUUUGAGGUGCCACAGAAAAGAGCCAGUCAUUGCAUUCUUUAAUUCUUUAUUCAAGGACAACGAAAAUAUGUCUAUACAAAGCUUUGCAGGAACGUUCAUAGUAGCUUUGGUUAUUUGUAAUAACCCAAAUGGGAAACAAAGCAAGUGCAAGUGUCCAUCAAUGGGUGUGUGGGUGAACAAGGUACAGCCAUAUAAUCAAAUGCUAUUCAGUAAGACAAAGUAAUGAAACCUGAUGCCUGCAGCAACAUUGAUGAAUCUCAGAAAACAUUAUGAUGAGUAAAAGAAGCCAGACAAAAAAAAAGAGUACAUACUGUAAAGGUUCCAUUUAUGCAAAACUUAAAAAUGUAAACUAAUCUAUAAUGACAUAAAGCGGAUCAUUAGCUGCCUGGGGCUGGGGACAAAGAAGAGGGUUAAUCAUAUCCAUCAUAGCUCAAUAGAUGUGGUAAAGCAUCAGCAAGCAAGCAAGCAAGCAAGCAAAUAACAAAGCACUGGAAGGAGUAAAGAAGAUGCACGUCAAGCAGAAGCUUCCAGAGACGCUGCCGCCCAGGGUCAGGGAUCUGUAGCAAGUUCACUGCCAACCUCACAGAUCCUUUUCAGCCUCCAAGCAGAUUAAGUGGCUGAGGGAUGCAGAAGUGCAGCGAAAAGCAUGCAUUUGGGGAUCCAAGAAUCUGCUUGCCAUUUACACAAGAAGAAGCAAAUGUAUUUGUGAUUCUCAUUUGCCUCUGAAACCUCAUGCCAGUGGGUCUUAGCAUGGAACCUAAGACUCUAUGGACCUCAGUCCAGCAAGGGAGUCCCGAGUUUGCAUCUUCUGCGACAGAGGGCAAGAUACAGAGCAGGGAGGUGAAAGAGUACUGAAUGCCAAAAGAGAGUUAGCAGGCCCGGCGUAGGAUUGGGAGGCCUGAUGGCACUGACACGGUUCUAGAUCAGAAGCAACCUUUGGAAGAGCUGCUUAGGCAAAGCGAGGGAACACGUGGAGCAUUUCUUCUGCACCUGCUGUUGAACUUUGGAUAGCCAAAGUCAGCUGCUCAUAGCUGACUGUGUAAUUCACCACACAAGCUGGGACGCUUUUUUAAAAAGCGAAAUUGGGGUAUUAAUGAUCACACCUGAAAAACAAGAGUAAACUAGGAUCGUGCUGGAAAAACAGGGACAAAUAGUCCAGCGAUGUAAGUGAGAAGAGCUCUCUGGAUCAAUUAGUUAUGUCGGAUUCAGCAUUCUCCAAGUCACAGUUUGACAGAUGGCCAUGAAACGUCUCUGGGGUUCUCUAAUUGCAACGAGGCUUGGGAAAAAGUCGUUUCACCUGGAUUAUCGUGUUGAGUUCAUGACGAGGCCUAAGAGGCUGCUGCUUUGAGAACACGUGAGCCUCCAAAGUAAGAGUAUGACUGAUGCGAAGUUGCCUGAUACCUUUGAGGCACCAGAUUACGGAAUGAACCAGAGAAGGGAAAUGAAUAUUGAGGUUUUAUGGGGGGAAAUGAAGAGAUCGUCCUCAGGCAACGGAUGGAACUUAGAUUUAUUUAAGCACUCUGCUUACGCCACCUCAGUCCAUUCUCGUAACAGCGCUAUGACACGGGUGGCGUUAACCCAAUUUUGUCAAGUGACAGCUAGUGGUGAGUCAGGAAUUGCGCGUAAUUCUCUGGGACUCCAAGCUUAGUGUUCAUUCCACUAAGGCCGUGCAGUCCCUAGUAUCAUCAUUCACCACUGAUUUCUUUCCUCGCUCAUAGUAUUGAGACAAACCUGAGUCUGAACAUAUUGGAAGAUUCAUGAAACUGAAUCUGCAACUGGAUCUGGAAUGUUUUAAAUGUUCUUUUACAAAAAUUAUAACGCAAGUAGACACUGGAACCUCAUGGUCUACAGUGUUUUGGGUUGUGCUUUUCAAGCUCUAAUGUGCUUACGAAUCACUUGAUAAAAUUCAGAUUCAGAUUCAGUAGGCCUGAGGCAAAGCUUGAGAUUUUGCCUUUCUAACAAGCUCCCAAGUAAUACCGAUGCUUCUGGUCUGUGGGCCGGUCUCGCGUAGGAGACUGCAGGAUAUGAAUUUGAUCCGGGUCAUUCGUGAACUCCACUUUAAGAAGGUUUAAUCCUGCCAGGGACAAGAUAACUCCUUUGCGACUCUGUUUUGUGUUGUCUCUAAUAGGGACCCGUUGGCAUUAAAGCAAACCACCAGCAUACCUGAGUUUUUAUUUUUUAUUUUUGUGUUUUUAAAUGUGUCUGCAACGUGGGGGGUUAUCAUUCUUGGGUUGUAUUAGUUGUAGGCGGGGGUACCGAUAUAUGGUGUCAAAUGCAUUACUCCUCAUCAGAUGCGCUUUUUCACUUCUCGCCCGGAAGUGUAUCUUCUCCUGUUUUCUCUCCUCUACUGUCCGACAUGAAUGACAGGGCCGACCAUUAUGCUCCCUGAAUUGCCAAAGUCAAUAAAAAUAUUAAAGAAUAUCUGUUUGGGGCGCCUGGGUGGCUCAGUCGGUUAAGCAUCCGACCUCACCUCAGUUCAGGAUCUCACCACUCGUGAGUUCGAGCCCCACGUCGCGCCCUGUGCUCACGGCUCAGAGCCUGGAUCCUGCUUCUAGUUCUGUGUCUCCCUCUCUCUGCCCCUCCCCCACUCACGCUCUGUCUCUUUCUCUCAAAAAUAAAUAAAGUUAAAAAUUAAAAAAAAAAAAUAUCUGUUUGCCUUUGUAGAAAAUCCGCACAUUCAGAACACCAGUUAGCCAAGACAGAUCGGCAUUGGCUCUAUUUAGUAGAAAGGAUGGCCGAAUCACUUCUUGGGUAACUCUGGCUUCAGGCCUCUUCCAAAUCAUUAAACAUACUUGCACAAGUUAAGGAGAGUCUCUGAGGAAGAUAACCAAGAAAAGGAUAGCAAACUUAAAUUAGGAGUAGAAACACAUGAUAUUUUGGAGAGCGUAAAAAACAAACAAAAAAACAACCCUGAAAGACCUGGAAAAAUGAGUUCUGUUUAGAGAGAAAAGGGACAGAAUGAAUAUAAAAUUACGGAAAACCUCCUCCUUCUCUUCUAACGAUAAAAAAGAGCAAUAUCACCAAAACCGAACCUCAGGUCAAGCAGUAGCAAGAGGAGAUGAUCUGACUUCCCACCAUCCCAACGAUACCACCUUCUUGUUUCUUUGUUUCUACCCUACCACCGAUGACUUCAUUACUUUGAAAGGAUCUUUGAAAACCCUUGAGUCAUUCUGGAAGUCUUUCCAAUUGUGGUCUGAACAACCAAUAUGAGGAAUUACUUUUUUUCAUCUUUAACCUCUUGGAAACAAAGAACAUUUUGGGAAAUUGACAUUGCUUGUGUCAUUUAUGUAAUGCUCAUUCCCUUAUAAAUAUCAUUCUACUCCAAAGCCAGCACUCAGAAAGACAGCUACCCUCGUCUGCGAUGACUUUCCCACAGUUCCAAUAAAUGUCAUUGAUGCUUUCAUAAAGAAAACAUCCCCCCCCCCAUUCCCUUGGAUGUUAAAAUAUUUACUCGCCAAUAACACGAACACGUGUGUUUCACUUGGAGAAGAUGUGGUUCCUCAAAGGCUUUUCAGAAAUCAACAGCGUGCAGAUUGAUCCACGAGAUCAUAGGAAAAUCCUGUUACUUUGAAAUUUCAAAGUGUUUUCAUCUAUAUUUCUGAUGGAUCUUCAAUUGUCAGGGACUCUUCAAUGGCCCCCGUUUAGCCAUGCGUGGUAAAGGACCUGUAAAUAGCUGCAAGGGUGACCAUAACAGAGAAUGUAAAGGAGGUCUUUUAUUAAGUUGAUCUUCAAGGUCUGUUUGUUCAAAUUUUACAGCAUCACUUUGGGUUUUGGUAACCCACCCCUGUAUGUAGGUUGGGAAAAAAAAUUAACAAUAUCGGCCCACUAAAUCUUUCCAAAUCCUCAGGGAAACAGUUUCAACAGAGAAGGGCCUUCUGAGUUCUUCCUCCCCCUCUCCUACUAUUCACUUUUCAGCUACUUUUCUAAAGGCGUCUUUGAGAUCACAUAUCCUUUUGGUCAGCGCUAGAAGAAGAGGGCUUUCUGCCGCCGACGCCGGCUCCUUCUUAGCAACAGAUGACACACGCGCACCCGGAACAGCUACAAGCUCUGUGCUUUCUGUGUGUCUCUUGUAUGAUCAGUGACAAUUUGCUUAGUUUCCCCUCACCUGCUUCCUAGCCAGCGAUUACCCAGAGACAGAAGCUUUGUGUAACCCGGACUUACAGCUAUUAGAAUAGGAUGUAAUUGUACCCACUGUGAUUGGCUCCGGUGGCAGAGCCCCAUUAACCUGGCGCGGCCGAUCUUAAAGCAGCCUGUGAUCUAGCUCAUUAAAUUUUAUCUUCGGUAACAAGGAAAGUUAUGACCUUUGCUGUUCCUGUCUUCAGGUAUUUUUGCAGACAUGUCGCCGAGGAGAUCAAACCAUGCGCUGGCAUCGAAAGGCAGAGGCAAGCCGACCUGGUAUACCCCGAGUGACAAAAAAUUGAGUUCCAAGUGCGAUGCAGAUAGAAGACGCCACCCAUGCUUAAAGAGGGUCCCGAGACGUGUGCUGCAAGGAAAGCAUUUUGCGGGGAGAGGUGCCCUCAUGCCCAGGCACCCUUCCUCUCCAGCAACACGGACGGUGCCUGGCAGCCGAGCUCUGUGUCCUCGUGGAGGGCACGGGAGAUUUCUCGGCACGCGUGUGUUGCCACGGUAUAAUGACCGGACGAACAAAGCCAGAGAGUUUAUCUGUCUCCUCGGUGUGGCCUAGUGUGCCCCUUUGACAGUUGCUUAGGUAGCAUCUCAGCUCAUUUCAAAGUAAAGAUUUCAAAACAGCCCAAUACACAUUGUGUUUUAUUUCUGGAACCAUCCGAACAAUUAAAUCGCAUCACAUCAGUCGUCCCUUUCAUUCAGAG
RNAcentral lists this long non-coding RNA (31940 nucleotides) under Lynx pardinus (Iberian lynx). The record is from RNAcentral. Lineage: Eukaryota; Metazoa; Chordata; Mammalia; Carnivora; Felidae.